Molecule: ribosomal RNA, 294 nt
Filed under: uncultured bacterium
Lineage: Bacteria
Description: partial 16S ribosomal RNA
Rfam family: Bacterial small subunit ribosomal RNA
Source: RNAcentral
AAUCAACGCUGGCGGCGUGCCUCAGACAUGCAAGUCGAACGAGAAAGUUUCCUUCGGGGAAUGAGUAAAGUGGCGCACGGGUGAGUAACACGUAGGUAAUCUACCUUCGGGUGGGGAAUAACCCAGGGAAACUUGGGCUAACACCGCAUAAUGCAGCGGCACCACAUGGUGACAGUUGUUAAAGCGGGGGAUUUUAGGGCCUCGCGCCUGAAGAGGAGCCUGCGGCGGAUUAGCUAGUUGGGAGGUAAUGGCUCACCAAGGCUUCGAUCUGUAGCUGGUCUGAGAGGGACGGCC